This 811-nucleotide long non-coding RNA is filed under the name Homo sapiens (human). Its description in RNAcentral is "HSALNT0332732". Lineage: Eukaryota; Metazoa; Chordata; Mammalia; Primates; Hominidae. The record is from RNAcentral.
CUCUUCGGUCUUCCUGACAUGUGUUUAUAAUUACUUGGAGUUAUCUCUAUGGCAGCCUGAGUUGCCUUCCAUCUGAAGUGGUCCUUGGGGUGGUGCUCAUUAGGUUAGCCUGCUCCUGGGCUCUGUUGUUUUUUUAAAAUCUGGCAUCUCAGGAGGCAAAAUGGUCUCAUGAAAAGAAGAGCAAAUCAGUAUCAAAAGGUCUAGAUUCUUGGCAAAGUUCUGCCAGUAACAAUCUACAUGACGGGAAAAUUUGCUUCCCAUCUACUCAAUCUCUCUGAGUUGUCAUAAGGAUAAAAUAAUACUCAUCAAGACACAAAACAGCAUGCACAGUUGCAUAGAUGAAGAUGACAUUUUAUUGCUGCAAUCUUGUUGAUAUGAAAAGGUGAGAAAUAAUGUAGUCCAUAAAACAAGUGUAUUCAUUCACAAAAUAUUUAUUAAUCCUACCUGAGAAAACAACAGGCACUUGGAGAACAAAGAAAAAUGGGAUAUAGUCAGGUAUACAGUCAAGGGUUCAGCGACCAGAAGGAAAACGGACACACAAACAAACACUUGUCGCAGUGAAUAGCACUGUAAUGGACUUAUAUAAUCGAUGUGGGAGCACAGAGGAGGAAGCAGCUAGCCCUGCCUAGGGAGGUCAACAAAACAACAGGCAACAGGUAAUCUUCCAGCAGAAUCUUGAAGGAUGGAAAAGGCCCAGGCAGAUAAAUCAGGAAAGAAAACAUCACUUAUAAAAUCUCCACAGCAAGUACAGAAAACCAAAAGUCCAUCAGCAUGCAGGAGUACCGUGGGUGUGUCAGGAAAUACUAAGUCU